Molecule: ribosomal RNA, 495 nt
Filed under: uncultured bacterium
Lineage: Bacteria
Description: partial 16S ribosomal RNA
Rfam family: Bacterial small subunit ribosomal RNA
Source: RNAcentral
GAUGAACGCUGGCGGCGUGCCUAAUACAUGCAAGUAGAACGCUGAAGGAGGAGCUUGCUCUUCUGGAUGAGUUGCGAACGGGUGAGUAACGCGUAGGUAACCUGCCUGGUAGCGGGGGAUAACUAUUGGAAACGAUAGCUAAUACCGCAUGACAACAGUUAUUGCAUGAUAACUGUUUAAAAGGGGCAACUGCUCCACUACCAGAUGGACCUGCGUUGUAUUAGCUAGUUGGUGAGGUAACGGCUCACCAAGGCGACGAUCCAUAGCCGACCUGAGAGGGUGAUCGGCCACACUGGGACUUAGACACGGCCCAGACCCCUACGGGAGGCAGCAGGAGGGAAUCUGGGGCAAUGGACGGAAGGCUGACCGAGCAACGCCGCGUGAGGGAAGAAGGUUGUCGGAUCGGAAAGCUCUGUUGUAAGAGAAGAACGAGUGUGAGAGUGGAAAGUGCACACUGUGACGGUAGCUUACCAGAAAGGGACGGCUAACUACGUG